CUCAGCAGGAGUAAAUGAGGAAGUCCAGAGAAAACGGCCCCUUGGACAACAGUUCUCUGACGAGCUACCCCAAACUUCAAAUCCCACCCCCACCCCACAACCCUCUCAAGGGCAACCUACCCUGAAUUAUUAGGCAAUCUGAAAUCCUGGAUCUCCAGCCUUCUCGUUCCAGCCAAUGGAAGGUGAACAGAAGUGAUGUGCUCCACUUGUAGACCUGACCCAUAAAACUCAUUCUCCUUCUCCAUCCAGAAGCUCACUGGCAAGAACUCCAGAAUCUAGAGGAGGGAAGAGCCCCAAGAUGAAAGGAGCCUGGGUUCCUUAAUGACUGAAUGAAGUAGAGCCCCCCCCACCCCCAUUCCAGGCUAUACUGUACUAGACCUUAAUAUAAGCAGGAAAUAAAAUUUGAUUGUAUGAAGUCA
Molecule: long non-coding RNA, 419 nt
Organism: Diceros bicornis minor
Lineage: Eukaryota; Metazoa; Chordata; Mammalia; Perissodactyla; Rhinocerotidae
Exons: 2
Source: RefSeq, a predicted model, not a curated record